Molecule: ribosomal RNA, 607 nt
Filed under: Basidiomycota sp. 4 HFP-2013
Lineage: Eukaryota; Fungi; Basidiomycota
Description: eukaryotic LSU rRNA
Rfam family: Eukaryotic large subunit ribosomal RNA
Source: RNAcentral
GAGGAAAAGAAACUAACAAGGAUUCCCCUAGUAACGGCGAGUGAAGCGGGAAGAGCUCAAAUUUGUAAUCUGGCACUUUCAGUGUCCGAGUUGUAAUCUCGAGAAGUAUUUUCCGCGCCGGACCGCAUACAAGUCUGUUGGAAUACAGCGUCAUAGUGGUGAGAACCCCGUAACUGAUGCGGAUGCCCGGUGCUUUGUGAUAUACUUUCGAAGAGUCGAGUUGUUUGGGAAUGCAGCUCAAAUUGGGUGGUAAAUUCCAUCUAAAGCUAAAUAUUGGAGCAAGACCGAUAGCGAACAAGUACCGUGAGGGAAAGAUGAAAAGCACUUUGGAAAGAGAGUUAACAGUACGUGAAAUUGUUGGAAGGGAAACGCUUGAAGUCAGACUUGCUAUUCGGAGUUCAGCCGCAAGGUGUAUUCUUCGAUUCGCAGGCCAGCAUCAGUUUUCGGGGGUGGAAAAUCGCGGUUUGAAGGUAGCAACUUCGGUUGUGUUAUAGCUUUCCGCUGGAUUCAUCCUUGGGGACUGAGGAACGCAGAUACGCUUUUUGCAAGGCUCUCGAGCUUUUCGUACUUAGCGAUGCUGAGUGGAAUGGCUUUAAACGACCCGCUA